RNAcentral lists this ribosomal RNA (301 nucleotides) under uncultured Archaeoglobus sp. Its description in RNAcentral is "bacterial SSU rRNA". The stretch from base 53 to 301 matches the Rfam family "Bacterial small subunit ribosomal RNA", at positions 547 to 795 of the family's 1533-position model. The record is from RNAcentral. Lineage: Archaea; Methanobacteriati; Methanobacteriota; Archaeoglobi; Archaeoglobales; Archaeoglobaceae.
CGGAUACUCGUGGACGGACGUAGGGGGAACAGGGGGGGUGCGAGCGGUGGUCGGAAUGACUGGGCGUAAAGGGCGUGUAGGCGGUCAAGUAAGUGGAAUGUGAAAUCCCCCGGCUGACCCGGGGACCUGCAUCCCAAACUGCUUGGCUUGAGUACGGGAGAGGAUGAGGGAAUUCCUGGUGUAGCGGUGAAAUGCGUAGAUAUCAGGAGGAACACCGGUGGCGAAGGCGCUCAUCUGGCCCGAUACUGACGCUGAGGCGCGAAAGCUAGGGGAGCAAACGGGAUUAGAUACCCGAGUAGUC